This 341-nucleotide unclassified non-coding RNA is filed under the name soil metagenome. RNAcentral's name for it is "partial contains 5.8S ribosomal RNA, internal transcribed spacer 2, and large subunit ribosomal RNA". The stretch from base 1 to 120 matches the Rfam family "5.8S ribosomal RNA", at positions 35 to 154 of the family's 154-position model. The record is from RNAcentral.
GAUGAAGAACGUAGCGAAAUGCGAUAAGUAAUGUGAAUUGCAGAAUUCAGUGAAUCAUCGAAUCUUUGAACGCACAUUGCGCCCCUUGGUAUUCCGGGGGGCAUGCCUGUUCGAGCGUCAUUUGUACCCUCAAGCUUUGCUUGGUGUUGGGCGUCUUGUCUCUAGCUUUGCUGGAGACUCGCCUUAAAGUAAUUGGCAGCCGGCCUACUGGUUUCGGAGCGCAGCACAAGUCGCACUCUCUAUCAGCAAAGGUCUAGCAUCCAUUAAGCCUUUUUUUCAACUUUUGACCUCGGAUCAGGUAGGGAUACCCGCUGAACUUAAGCAUAUCAAUAAGCGGAGGA